Molecule: ribosomal RNA, 197 nt
Filed under: uncultured bacterium
Lineage: Bacteria
Description: partial 16S ribosomal RNA
Rfam family: Bacterial small subunit ribosomal RNA
Source: RNAcentral
ACGCUCGACACCUACGGAGGCAGCAGUGGGGAAUAUUGCACAAUGGGGGAAACCCUGAUGCAGCGACGCCGCGUGAGUGAAGAAGUAUUUCGGUAUGUAAAGCUCUAUCAGCAGGGAAGAAAAUGACGGUACCUGACUAAGAAGCCCCGGCUAACUACGUGCAAGCAGCCGCGGUAAUCUGAGCGGGCUGGCAAGGC